CCUACGGGAGGCAGCAGUGGGGAAUAUUGCACAAUGGGGGAAACCCUGAUGUAGCGACGCCGCGUGAGUGAAGAAGUAUUUCGGUACGUAAAGCUCUAUCAGCAGGGAAGAAAAUGACGGUACCUGACUAAGAAGCCCCGGCUAACUACGUGCCAGCAGCCGCGGUAAUACGUAGGGGGCAAGCGUUAUCCGGAUUUACUGGGUGUAAAGGGAGCGUAGACGGCAGCGCAAGUCUGGAGUGAAAUCCCAUGGCUUAACCAUGGAACUGCUUUGGAAACUGUGCAGCUAGAGUGCAGGAGAGGUAAGCGGAAUUCCUAGUGUAGCGGUGAAAUGCGUAGAUAUUAGGAGGAACACCAGUGGCGAAGGCGGCUUACUGGACUGUAACUGACGUUGAGGCUCGAAAGCGUGGGGAGCAAACAGGAUUAGAUACCCCGGUAGUC
RNAcentral lists this ribosomal RNA (440 nucleotides) under uncultured bacterium. RNAcentral describes it as "partial 16S ribosomal RNA". It matches the Rfam family "Bacterial small subunit ribosomal RNA", at positions 338 to 795 of the family's 1533-position model. The record is from RNAcentral.